Molecule: long non-coding RNA, 89 nt
Filed under: Fukomys damarensis (Damara mole-rat)
Lineage: Eukaryota; Metazoa; Chordata; Mammalia; Rodentia; Bathyergidae
Description: lncRNA (ENSFDAG00000026829.1)
Source: RNAcentral
GCCACGUGGAUGCGGACACGGCCUGCGCUUCUGCCAAGACCUCGGGUUGGCCCCCCGGAUUGGCAAGCCACCCCUCAAGGAGAGCCCCU